RNAcentral lists this RNase P RNA (431 nucleotides) under Candidatus Cloacimonetes bacterium 4572_55. RNAcentral's name for it is "RNase P RNA component class A". It matches the Rfam family "Bacterial RNase P class A". Rfam says of the family: Ribonuclease P (RNase P) is a ubiquitous endoribonuclease, found in archaea, bacteria and eukarya as well as chloroplasts and mitochondria. Its best characterised activity is the generation of mature 5'-ends of tRNAs by cleaving the 5'-leader elements of precursor-tRNAs. Cellular RNase Ps are ribonucleoproteins. The record is from RNAcentral. Lineage: Bacteria; Pseudomonadati; Candidatus Cloacimonadota.
GAAGUAGGUCUGGCGGUCGCAAAUGAUUUAUUCAUUUGAGGAAAGUCCGAGCUCCGCAGGAUAGGAUGCUCUGUAACGCAGAGAAGAAGCGAUUCUAUGGAGAGCACCACAGAAAAGAUACCGCUUGGGGAGCAGUUUUUUGAUGUGUUUCAAGAACAUAUCUACCUGCGCGGCAUGUGCCUGUACUCAAGUAAGGGUGAAAAGGCGCGGUGAGAGCGCGCCGCGUUUCGGGUGACCGAGACGGCAUGGUAAGCCCCAUCCGGAGCAAGACCAAAUAGGGGAAUUGCGCUAUAUCGCGCGCAAGUGAUCCGCUUGAAAUUCCCGGGUUAGGUCGCUUGAGGAACGGAGCAAUCCGUUUCCCAGAUAAAUGACCGUCUGUCUUCCGAAUUUUUUCGGGGAUAACAGAACUCGGCUUAUGAACUGCUUCCACA